RNAcentral lists this non-coding RNA (31 nucleotides) under Rattus norvegicus (Norway rat). The record is from RNAcentral. Lineage: Eukaryota; Metazoa; Chordata; Mammalia; Rodentia; Muridae.
UAGGUGGAGCAUAACAAAGUGAAGUACCCUA